AGACAGAGUUUCUCUGUAUUUUCCUGGCCAUCCUAGAAUUUGCUCUGUAUAUUCCAAAAAGCAUUCUCACAGACACACUCAGACGGGGCUGAGUGGACAAUCAGCCAUGUCUCCCAUCCUCACCCUUCCAGAAUAGCAAUUCUAUUUUAACAUUUGAGUUCUACAAGGGAUGUCCUUUCCCAGAAGAUGAGGUGACCAUGUUAAUGUCAGGCAAUGAGUAUAAGGGCAGGCUAUUUCCCAGGGAUUUUAGAAGGCUCCCAUAUGGAAUACUGACCUGGCUGGCUUUCGUUCUUCAUCAUUGGCUUCUGUCUGUGGGCUGUCUAUUCUGAUUACCAUUCGCUGUAACCAAGCUGGAAAAGCACAGAGAAAUCCCUAUGUCCCCUGGGCUGCCAUCAAGGAACGCUUUAUAACACAACUAGAAAAUCCCACCCCAGCCUUUGUCUUGGAGAUUUCUGCUACACAAACCUAGCAUGGGCUUUCUGGUGGAUGGCACUCAUAGCCCAUCACAGCCUCUGUGGAUAAUGAUGGAGGGGAACAGACCUCCAGGAAGUCUCCAUCCCUCAGCUAUGUCCACUGGUCCUGGCUGACCUAGCACCUGCAUCGAGAGGCUUUUUGAAAUCGAGGGGUCUCCCUGGCACUGGGAGCAGGAGCCCACUACACACCCUCUCCAUAGAGAACUCAGAAUGAAGGCUUCUUUAAUGGGAAGGUAAAUGGCAGUCUCAAGCUUCCUAUAUUUAGCCUUUCCUGAGAGUAGCUAUUUCAGGCUAUGUGUGAAUGGAAGCAGGCAGCCUGGAUUGGGAGUGUGGAAAGAAGCAGUAAAAAUGUGACCUAAAAAAGACAGAUCCCAGCAGAGCAAUCCCAGACCACGUGUUUCAGAUGAGUCCUCAUUGAUUAGUGGAAAGCCCAGCCUGCCUUGCAGACAGAAAAGGAAAGGAAUGCUUGGGUUUGGCUGGUGCGUGACUGGCAGGGGCCAUCUCCAGCUUCCUUCCGCCUGGAACAGCUUUCUCCAGAGAAUGGUGCGUAUGGAGGGCUCACUCUGGGACAGCACAGUGCUAAGUCGUGUAAGUGUUUGUGGGCCUCAUUCAACCCAAAGCGAUGAUUCCUAAUUUCCAACCAUGGUUGAGGGGACUAGCAAAUCAGUCCACCCCAAUCACAUCUCUCGCGUUCUCUCUCUCCACCUGUGAAGGCCGCACAGCCUCCACAGAAAGCAACGGCCCUGCUCCAAAGACACUGCCAAGCUCAUUUACUCAAAGGUCAGAUUUUGCACUGCAGACAUUCCAACAGUAUGUAGUCCUCAGCAGGGUUUCGCUUGCUUCCACUGAAGGCUCAUAUGUGACAAGCCAGCCCCCAGAGCUUUGUGGACAUCAUUUAACGAACCUCAUGCCCGCCUUGCAGGUUCUGGUAAGCCCCAUUCUGCAGAACCACAGAGAGUGUAAACUAACCAUUGUCACUCAGUCAGUGGCAGAGUCAGGACUGCCAUUUCUGGUCUGUUUCCUGAUUUUUUUUAAAUGGGUUUUAUUUCACAGUCUGUGGAGUAAGAAGAAUGAGGAGGGGGCAGGAACCAAGCCCAGGAACAAAUACCGGGGGGUUUGUCCUUAUUUAAAUGCCUGAAGGGAGGGGGUGUGCAGAAUUGAAAAAGAAAAAAGACUUUGCCUUCCUUGCUGUUUCUUCGUGUCUUACUCCACCCCCAACCCCCUCCCCUGUCCUUGCCUGGGGCAUCUGCUUCAUUUCCACCCAGGGACAGGAACAAUGAGGGAAAUGGCCUAGGAAACAUCCAGGCAGGCUUCUGUUUCUAUCCAAGAUGUGCUUAGAGCCCGCAAUCCUCCAAGGUCAUAUGGCUGCAGCUGGCAGAGCAGCUGGUCCAUACCAUGCCAGCCAGAUUAACCCUUAAAAAGUGAAAGCAAGGAGCUGAGCAGAAGGUUCAGUCAGCAAAGUGCAAAGACCCGAGUUCAGAUCCUCAGACACCCCCACAAAAACCCAGGUGUGCACGGUGGAACACAGAAACACACCUGGAAUCUGAUUUCAUAGCCCUCUAUGUCAUAGUGUGUGUGGCUUAAGUGUCUCUCUGGAAAAAAAAAAAAUCCCUCCCAUUUGGAACUCAUCUGUUUAAACUUGAAAACAUUAACUUACAUUCAUUCUGUUUUAAAAAAGAGAUCGUGAGGCAGAAGGGAGAGUUUACUUGUUAAUAUGGGUGCCGUGCAAACAUGAGACCCUGAAUCUGAACCCAGAACCCGUGGUUUUUGUUUUGUUUUUUAAAAAGCUGGGCCGAGUAAUACGGAGGUGGAGACAGGCUGAUCCUUGGGGCUCCUUAGCCAGCUAGGGAAACUGACAAUCCCCAGGUUCCAGUAAUAGGCAUUGUCUCAGAAAACAAGGUGGUUGGCUCCUGAGACAACACCUACACUUGGCCUCUGGCCUCCAUAGCACCCCCACACACACAUGCACAUACACAUACACAAAAUAAAAACCCAAACCUCUUUCCAGCCAGAGUGUCAUUACUGAGCUUUAUUGUAACUGGUUCCAUGGGUUGAGUCCAUCACUGCAGCUAGGACCUUGUAUGAGGUGAUCUUCGUAACCAUAGAAUAUGUCAGACAUAACCAAGUACAGAACCGGAAUAGCACGUGCCUGGUGUGGGAGCAUGUGCCAGCGUCUCACACGCCAAUGAUCACUCUCUGCAGGUAUUUGAUUGACACAAGGUCUUUGUGGGCUACUGAAUCCCAGGAUGUGGCUUGUAGGAGUUCCACAUGCUCCCUUGGCUAUGGUAUUUCCAGUCGGCUUAUGUAGAAGCAACACUUUACAAACUUGGGGCAGGGAGGAAUAUCACAGCGCAAUUUUAAAAUAUUUAAUACAUUGUUUUUUGUUCUACAAAGAAUGAGCAGUUCUCAAAUAUUACAAAUAGUGAAACAGAUAUACUAGCUUGUGGAUAUAUAGAGAUAGAUAUAUACAAUUUACUACUUUAUACUUCAAAAGUGCAGGAAGAUAAAUUACAUAAUAUAUAUAAUUUUAGAUCUAGUGGACAAUUGGAUAUUGCUCUUUGUUGGACUAGAUGCAUUGGAUGCAUGCCCAUGGCUUGUCACUGAAUGGAGAGGGAACUAGUGGGGGUUAGGGAACUCAUGGAGUCCCGUGCUUAACCCCAGAGUGCCAUCUUCAAAGCAAUAUUUCAAGUUUUAUCAUGAGCUGGGGCUGGGUCAGAAGUUUCCAGUCCCGUGUGCAACAUGGGAUGUUACCAAGAAUCUCAGCUUUAUAACUUGGAAUGGGACCAAAGCAAAGCUGAAAGCCGUUGGCCCAGUGGUACUGCAUCCUCAGCUCCUGAGGCAGAGGGGAGUUUGCAAAAGGUGAUGUUGGGAUAGCCACCCAAUGCUCAGCUCAAUCUCUAGAAAGCAGUGUUGGAAUGAAGCCCAUGAGGGAGGCCUUACCGACCUCCCACCCUCUAAACUCACAGGCGGAACAGAAAGGAACAAAGACUUAUAAUGGAUAACCACGAGAGUCUCAUGUCGAUGAAGCCUGAAAUACUUAGGAAUGUGGGAACUGACGGAAAGAGCAGAAAGAACCCUGACAGGUGGUCACUGGGAGUAGGGAAGCUUGUAGCAAUGUCCCAUAUAAACUGGUUACCAUCAGUGGGAGAGACGGGAUUUUCCUAACUGUGAAGGGAUCGCCACAAAUAUAUAUAUAUAUAUAUAUAUAUAUCAUGUCAACCAUGGAGCCAUGGUCUUUCCUUCACUAAUCCCACACCUCAAUGGCAAGGUGAUACACUUUCUCUGAGAACAGAAAUAGAAAGAAAUAGAACAACACAUUAAAAACAUUCCAGAACACUCCACAGCUCGAUCUUCCUGUGAUUGGCAAUGGCUUGUGGGAACAUAAAGAGCCAAUAGAAGAAGUUCAGAGGGGGCCUACAAUGGGCACAAGUGCUUUGAGCUCAUGGCUGAUUCCUGGGCUUCCUCAUUUCUCAGUGCAGCUGCUUGCCCAGGUCUGCAAGGAUUUUGUUCUAGAAGUCCACAGAAAUAGUAAGAUCACUGAGCCAUAUGGUUUUCUGAGGGACCUUCCCAACCCUCAGCAUAUCACCAAGGUGAGUUAUGAUUGACCGAGCAGAGUGGGCCAGGCCAAAGAGACUGCAUUAUAGAGGUCUGAAGGAAACAAAGGUGUCUGAACACAGUGUGCUCUGGAGGCAUAGACGGAACAAGAGGCCUACCACAACACACCGGCAUUGGGAGCUCCGCACAGUGGCCAUAGGCCACUGCAUAGGACCUCACAGUGCUGCAGCUUCCUCUGCCUGCUGACUGGGCAGCGGUCAGAUGGCUAAGAGAAUGGUCAAGCUAGCACCCAAGGCCAGCAUGGGUUUGUCCUAGCAGGUGAAACAGGAGCUCCUUCUCAUUGGCUGUGGGAGUAGGAAUUGUCAAGAAUCAAAAGCCAGCCAGACUCCAGGAUGGCAGGCAAACUGGACUAAGCUGAGAGCACUGUGCCCAGAAAAGAGAGAGCAGCCUAUCUGCAGCUGCCGUGGCCUCCGAUGCCUCAAGCAGUGGCUGAUUUGUUCUGAAGAACCCAGGGUACACGCACAGUCAUUGGGAAGAAUUCAUUCUAGGGUGCACACUGCACUGAAGAACUUAAGGACAUUUAGCAAGGGACGAGGAAAAAAAUUUACUGUUGACUAAAUGCAUUUUCUAGCAAUCUACUCCCAAAGUAGAUAAAUUGUUAAAAACACAGUGAAUGACGUCUGUUUCAAAGUAUUUCAUUAAGGUGCAGCGCAUAGCAUCUGCAUGCUCGUGUCAUUUAGAAAAAUGGGUGUGCUUCUGGUUAUUAGAUGCUCUUGGUUGGCUGUUUUGCAGCUGGGUACACAUGGAGUUAUUUAAGACAAGAAAACCAUCUUAGGGGAGGGGAAGGUGGGAGUCUAAAAAAUGCCUACUUUAUUUGCUUUUAUUUAAAAAUCUGAGGGCUGGGAGAAGUGGCAACCCUCGGAGGUCAAAAGAAAGUUCACGUUUCUAGGACCCUCAAAGUAUCACACACACACACACACACA
Molecule: long non-coding RNA, 5011 nt
Organism: Peromyscus californicus insignis
Lineage: Eukaryota; Metazoa; Chordata; Mammalia; Rodentia; Cricetidae
Exons: 2
Source: RefSeq, a predicted model, not a curated record